GUGAGUAAUGCCUAGGAAAUUGCCCUGAUGUGGGGGAUAACCAUUGGAAACGAUGGCUAAUACCGCAUAACGCCUACGGGCCAAAGAGGGGGACCUUCGGGCCUCUCGCGUCAGGAUAUGCCUAGGUGGGAUUAGCUAGUUGGUGAGGUAAGGGCUCACCAAGGCGACGAUCCCUAGCUGGUCUGAGAGGAUGAUCAGCCACACUGGAACUGAGACACGGUCCAGACUCCUACGGGAGGCAGCAGUGGGGAAUAUUGCACAAUGGGCGCAAGCCUGAUGCAGCCAUGCCGCGUGUGUGAAGAAGGCCUUCGGGUUGUAAACCACUUUCAGUCAUGAGGAAGGUAAUG
RNAcentral lists this ribosomal RNA (347 nucleotides) under uncultured bacterium. Its description in RNAcentral is "bacterial SSU rRNA". It matches the Rfam family "Bacterial small subunit ribosomal RNA", at positions 106 to 456 of the family's 1533-position model. The record is from RNAcentral.